CUCAAAGAAAAUCUGAAAACCCUCCUUUUUUCCUCUCUGGCCAAGCGAAUUCCGGCCAACCCCCAACGAUUACUCCGUCGCACGCGCCACCGCUCGCGGCGGUCAGAAGGUCAAAAGCCCUAUUUUUUUCCAGGCGUUUCAGAGGUAGCCCCUUUCCUUCUUUAUUUUUUGAAAUAUUUUAUGUAUAUAUAUAUAAUAUUCAUAUGCUUCGAUACUGGAAAAUGAAAAAGAGAAAUAAAAGAUACAAAAAUAUAUAAAAAAAAAGGAGAAUCACCUUUAUUCUGUGAUUUGAAAAAAUGUUCUUUUAUUGGAUAUAUGUGUGUAUACUAUUGUGUUUUUUUUUUACAACAAUAGCAUUCGGGCUUUAUAGCCACUAGUUACAUUUGGUAAGAAAUAUUUCCUUUAAUUUCUUCCUAUUUUGCGUUGCUAUGCUGUUUUCCCUUUCCAUUUGUGUGCAAGUGAACACGGAAAUCACGGCGGUGAUGAAGACUUCGAUGAUGGUGGCGAUGGACCCGGCCUUGACUGCGUACUGGUGCUAACGGCGCAAGGUUUUCUGAUACUUGGUAUGGCUUGGGAGUUGCGGCGCAAACCCUAGCUAGGGUUUCCCAAAACUGAAAAUAUGUUAGGCCAAUUGGGCCAAUUUAGUCUUGGGCUAGGGUGUAACGGGUAUAGUGUAAAUGGGCUGCUGGGUGUUGGGUUUAGGCUAAAUGUGUCUAUUUGUAAAAGGAUUGUUAAAAAAAAACUUUUAUUAUUAUUAUUUUUUGAUAUUUUGGACUAUGCCUUGGCUUCCAAUGGGCCGGGCAAAAUUAAGGUAUUACAACCAUCAAUACUGUUACCACAAGCAUUACAACACUGCCCAAAAUACGUGCGGUACCAAAGAAGAAGGUGUUUGUGUCCUCCGCUUAUGCAAGACAAAGGAAUUUCAACACAUCGAAGACAUAUAUGUUCUUUGCACAAAUAAAACUCACAUUUGAAGGCAAAACCACU
This 987-nucleotide long non-coding RNA is filed under the name Gossypium barbadense (sea-island cotton). RNAcentral describes it as "long non-coding RNA (GBAR_LNC009720)". The record is from RNAcentral. Lineage: Eukaryota; Viridiplantae; Streptophyta; Magnoliopsida; Malvales; Malvaceae.